Molecule: ribosomal RNA, 440 nt
Filed under: uncultured Rhodoferax sp.
Lineage: Bacteria; Pseudomonadati; Pseudomonadota; Betaproteobacteria; Burkholderiales; Comamonadaceae
Description: bacterial SSU rRNA
Rfam family: Bacterial small subunit ribosomal RNA
Source: RNAcentral
GGAAUUUUGGACAAUGGGCGAAAGCCUGAUCCAGCAAUGCCGCGUGCAGGAUGAAGGCCUUCGGGUUGUAAACUGCUUUUGUACGGAACGAAAAAGUCUGCCCUAAUACGGUGGGCCCAUGACGGUACCGUAAGAAUAAGCACCGGCUAACUACGUGCCAGCAGCCGCGGUAAUACGUAGGGUGCGAGCGUUAAUCGGAAUUACUGGGCGUAAAGCGUGCGCAGGCGGUUAUAUAAGUCAGAUGUGAAAUCCCCGGGCUCAACCUGGGACCUGCAUUUGAGACUGUAUAGCUAGAGUACGGUAGAGGGGGAUGGAAUUCCGCGUGUAGCAGUGAAAUGCGUAGAUAUGCGGAGGAACACCGAUGGCGAAGGCAAUCCCCUGGACCUGUACUGACGCUCAUGCACGAAAGCGUGGGGAGCAAACAGGAUUAGAUACCCUUG